This 827-nucleotide ribosomal RNA is filed under the name Ctenanthe marantifolia. RNAcentral describes it as "eukaryotic LSU rRNA". The stretch from base 302 to 457 matches the Rfam family "5.8S ribosomal RNA". Lineage: Eukaryota; Viridiplantae; Streptophyta; Magnoliopsida; Zingiberales; Marantaceae. The record is from RNAcentral.
UUCGCCGCUCGUGACGUCUUGAGAAGUCCACUGAACCUUAUCAUUUAGAGGAAGGAGAAGUCGUAACAAGGUUUCCGUAGGUGAACCUGCGGAAGGAUCAUUGUGGAAAACCCCAUCGAGGAGCACUGCGAACGUGUCAACGAAAUGUUGUCGGGACGGGCUGCCCCGACCGACACGGUCCUCGCCCAAGUGGCGCUGACCAUCGACCAAACCCCGGGCGCGAUGUGCGCCAAGCAUACAAUGAAAACCUGAGGGCGGGCUGGGCUUUGCUCCGGCUGCGCCCUGCUUCUCGGAUUAGAAUGACUCUCGGCAACGGAUAUCUCGGCCCUCGCAUCGAUGAAGAACGUAGCGAAAUGCGAUACGUGGUGUGAAUUGCAGAAUCCCGCGAACCAUUGAGUUUUUGAACGCAAGUUGCGCCCGAGGCCUUGCCGCCGAGGGCACGCCUGCCUGGGCGUCACGCCAUUGUCGCUCCGUGCUCUCCCUCAGCCCUCGCUUGCGCGGGCUGCGUGGCCGGUGCGGAAAUUGGCCCCCCGUGCCUUUGGGUGCGGUCGGCCGAAGAGUGGGCCGUCGCUUGUGGUCGGACACGACGGAUGGUGGCACUGUGAGAAAGCCGAACGUCGUCUCUUGGCCGUUGUGAUGCGCCUUUGUGGAUCCCCACCCCGCGUUGCGGGAUUGCCUUGGAUCGCGACCCCAGGUCAGGCGGGACCACCCGCCGAGUUUAAGCAUAUAAAUAAGCGGAGGAGAAGAAACUUACGAGGAUUCCCAUAGUAACGGCGAGCGAACCGGGAUCAGCCCAGCUUGAGAAUCGGGCGGCUGCACCGUCCGAA